AAAGGCCGCAGUAUUUUGACUGUGCUAAGGUAGCAUAAUCAUUAGAUUUUUAAUUGAAAUCUUGUUUGAAUGGUAAAAUGAAAUAAAUUCUUUUUUAUUUUAAAUAUUGAAUUUUAUUUUUUAGUUAAAAAGCUAAAAUUAAAAAAAGGGACGAGAAGACCCUAUAGAAUUUUAUAAUUUUUUUUUAAUUAUUUAAUUAUAAAUUUAUUUAUUUAAAUAUUAAUUAUUUUAUUGGGGCGAUAAUUAAAUUUAUUUAACUUUUAAUAUAUUUUUCAUUUAUAAAUGUUUAAAUGAUCUUUUUUUAUUGAUUAAAAAUUUAAAUUACCUUAGGGAUAACAGCAUAAUAUUAUUAUUAAGUUCUUAUUUUUAAUAAUGAUUAUGACCUCGAUGUUGGAUUAAAUAAAAUUUUUAUAUGUAGUUAUAUAAAUAAUAAGUCUGUUCGACUUUUAAUUAUUUACAUGAUCUGAGUUCAAACCGGUGUAAGCCAGGUCGGUUUCUAUCU
Molecule: ribosomal RNA, 502 nt
Filed under: Dasineura sisymbrii
Lineage: Eukaryota; Metazoa; Arthropoda; Insecta; Diptera; Cecidomyiidae
Description: partial large subunit ribosomal RNA
Rfam family: Bacterial large subunit ribosomal RNA (bases 332-491)
Source: RNAcentral